ACAGACACCCCGGAAGUCACGUACCCACUCUGUAGGUGCCCCGGGGCACAGGCAAGCGGACGAGCCAGUUAUCCCUCAGAGCUCCUGCUGCCUCGCCCGCUUUCUCUCGGAAACGUGAAGUGUGGCCUCAGCUGAAAGUGAGGUGGGCCUCAUUCAAUCAGUUGAAUUCUUCAAGAGAGAAAAACUGAAGUCCCUUAGAAGGAAAGAGUUCUGCCUUCAGACUGUCUUUGAACUUAAGACUGUAGCGUCGACUCCUGCCGGAAUUUCCAGCCUGCUGGCCAGCUCUGCAGAUUCACACUUGCCAGCCUCCACAAUCGCAGCUGAGGCGGAGGAACCCUAAGGGCUCAUUGAGAUCAUGGAUUUGCCCUUCUAUGCAUUGAUGGAGCACCUGCUGCCCACAGCGUCUGUAUUUGGUGCUGGGAUGCUGAGGACACUGAGAUCUUCAAACAGAGGCUGCCACUCUAAGCAAACAGAUCCCGAGCCCUGGACUCUGAAGCUUGGGCCCAGUUCUCCUUUUCUCCGGGUUUCAGAUCCCACUGUGAAGUGAGGGGGCCCUUCUGAUUCAGGACCCGGGGAAGCCAGGGGCAUGAGCAUCGGUGCCUCUUCUCUAUUUCAAGGACCCUUCUGGGUGUAAAGUUCUCUGAGAUGCCUUACAUGGAUUCCCACCACUGCAAGAUAACCAUCGUAUGAGGCUUCAGGCUUGACCAAAUCUGACUGGCUGGCUGCCGGAGACACUGCUACCCAUCGGCCCUUAAUAAAUGGCCUCAUUUGAUCAUCAUGUGAUCUUCAGAAGCUGGGCUUGAUUAUCCUUGCCAAACAAAAUGCUGAAACCAAAAAUCUGAAAGGGACAUGACCCUAUGCCAGCCCACACCACAGUCUUGGUCAUCACUCCUGUUUCCAUGGUGUUAACAGCAGCAGUUACUUGGUUACGGAGAGCUUUUCCUUACGCCAGCACCCUAUCCAUAUCGCUUGGACACCCUUGGCAACCACGUUCUACUCCUCGUUUCUACGAGUUUGGCUAUUUUAAUACCUCAUCUAAGUGGAAUUGUGCUGCAUUUGUCCUUCUGUGACCGGCUCACCUCACGUAGCGUGCUGUUCUCCAGGUUCAUCCAUGUUAUCCUGUUCAGCAGGAUUUCCUUCUCUUCUGAAGCUGAAUCAUAAUCCAUCGCUAACGUUAUCUUGUAACUCUUCUAUUAAACUCUCUAUCUCCUUA
This 1213-nucleotide long non-coding RNA is filed under the name Homo sapiens (human). RNAcentral's name for it is "epigenetically induced MYC interacting lncRNA 1". Lineage: Eukaryota; Metazoa; Chordata; Mammalia; Primates; Hominidae. The record is from RNAcentral.